RNAcentral lists this non-coding RNA (30 nucleotides) under Rattus norvegicus (Norway rat). Lineage: Eukaryota; Metazoa; Chordata; Mammalia; Rodentia; Muridae. The record is from RNAcentral.
UGCAUCCUUAGUUUGGCCUUUGCUGGUUGA